UACAGUAGAGAUAAUCUUGUCAGUGAUGAGC
This 31-nucleotide non-coding RNA is filed under the name Rattus norvegicus (Norway rat). The record is from RNAcentral. Lineage: Eukaryota; Metazoa; Chordata; Mammalia; Rodentia; Muridae.